RNAcentral lists this ribosomal RNA (253 nucleotides) under uncultured bacterium. Its description in RNAcentral is "partial 16S ribosomal RNA". It matches the Rfam family "Bacterial small subunit ribosomal RNA", at positions 524 to 776 of the family's 1533-position model. The record is from RNAcentral.
UACGGGGGGGGCAAGCGUUGUUCGGAAUUACUGGGCGUAAAGGGCGCGUAGGCGGCCUGCUAAGUCGGAUGUGAAAUCCCUCGGCUCAACCGAGGAACUGCAUCCGAUACUGGCGGGCUGGAAUCCGGGAGAGGGAUGUGGAAUUCCAGGUGUAGCGGUGAAAUGCGUAGAUAUCAAGCGGAACACCGGUGGCGAAGGCGGCCUUCUGGACGAUGACUGACGCUGAGACGCGAAAGCGUGGGGAGCAAACGGG